UACGGAGGAUGCGAGCGUUAUCCGGAUUUAUUGGGUUUAAAGGGUGCGUAGGCGGAUCGUUAAGUCAGUGGUCAAAUUGAGGGGCUCAACACCUUCCCGCCAUUGAAACUGGCGAUCUUGAGUGGAAGAGAAGUAUGCGGAAUGCGUGGUGUAGCGGUGAAAUGCAUAGAUAUCACGCAGAACCCCGAUUGCGAAGGCAGCAUGCCGGCUUCCUACUGACGCUGAAGCACGAAAGCGUGGGGAUCGAACAGG
Molecule: ribosomal RNA, 252 nt
Filed under: uncultured bacterium
Lineage: Bacteria
Description: partial 16S ribosomal RNA
Rfam family: Bacterial small subunit ribosomal RNA
Source: RNAcentral